GGCUCAGGAUGAACGCUAGCGGCAGGCUUAACACAUGCAAGUCGAGGGGUAACAUUGUGCUUGCACAGAUGACGACCGGCGAACGGGUGCGUAACGCGUAUAGAAUCUGCCUUGUACAGGAGGAUAGCCUUUAGAAAUGAAGAUUAAUACUCCAUAAUGUAUAUAAGAGGCAUCUCUUAUAUAUUAAACAUUUAUGGGUACAAGAUGACUAUGCGUCCUAUUAGCUAGAUGGUAAGGUAACGGCUUACCAUGGCAACGAUAGGUAGGGGGUCUGAGAGGAUUAUCCCCCACACUGGUACUGAGACACGGACCAGACUCCUACGGGAGGCAGCAGUGAGGAAUAUUGGUCAAUGGAGG
RNAcentral lists this ribosomal RNA (357 nucleotides) under Bacteroidetes bacterium R2A10. RNAcentral's name for it is "bacterial SSU rRNA". It matches the Rfam family "Bacterial small subunit ribosomal RNA", at positions 21 to 377 of the family's 1533-position model. Lineage: Bacteria; Pseudomonadati; Bacteroidota. The record is from RNAcentral.